AUGCCCACGCUCGCUUUCCACGGGAUGAACGCCGCCUGUCUCCAACGCUUGCCUCUCCAUUGGAUCGCCGCCACUGCCCCACGGACGCGGUCGUCGUCGCCGUCCGCCGCUCCUCCACUCGAUUGCCGCUCAAGGAUGCGGUCACUGCCGGCAUCUCCUGGAGCGUGGGUCGUCGCCGCCCACCGCUCGGCUGCUGCCCCAUGGACGUGCUCGCCCACACCCCUACAUCCGCUGGCCUCUCCUGGAGCGCGGGUCGUCGUUGCCGCCCGCCGUCGCUGUCGCCACACGCAGUGCAUUGAGGCCCUAGCCAUCAAGAGACAUCUUUCCCCGUGA
Molecule: ribosomal RNA, 333 nt
Filed under: Triticum aestivum (bread wheat)
Lineage: Eukaryota; Viridiplantae; Streptophyta; Magnoliopsida; Poales; Poaceae
Description: partial small subunit ribosomal RNA
Source: RNAcentral